UACGUAGGGGGCAAGCGUUGUCCGGAAUCAUUGGGCGUAAAGCGCGUGUAGGCGGUUAGGUAAGUCUGCUCUGAAAGCCCGGGGCUCAACCCCGGGAGGCGGGUGGAUACUGUCUAGCUCGAGUCCGGAAGAGGGGUGUGGAAUUCCUGGUGUAGCGGUGAAAUGCGCAGAUAUCAGGAGGAACACCAAUGGCGAAGGCAGCACUCUGGGACGUGACUGACGCUGAGACGCGAAAGCGUGGGGAGCAAACAGG
This 253-nucleotide ribosomal RNA is filed under the name uncultured bacterium. Its description in RNAcentral is "partial 16S ribosomal RNA". It matches the Rfam family "Bacterial small subunit ribosomal RNA", at positions 524 to 776 of the family's 1533-position model. The record is from RNAcentral.